CUACGGUGUUCUCUGUUUUGCUCUACGACCCCCACAAGCAUCAGAAGUUGAUACAGCCAAUCUGCCAACCUCCGUCUGUAGCUUUCGAACAGUUUGACCCAUCUGUGUAAAGGUCACAUACAGGACAAGGCAGUUGCCACAGACACUGAUGAGGAACACCAGAGAGUAGAAGAUUGGGAAGAUGAUCAAGGCAGCUCUCUGGUAGACAAAGACAUCACACAUCUGGUUGGUGUCAGAGGUGUUUAAAUCCACCACAGAGAUGUUGGUAGACAUUUCUCCUGUUGAGAAAAAAAUCUGUUUGAGAAAAAAAGGAUGAACCCUGAUGAAUAAAUAACCCAAAAAGUU
This is a non-coding RNA of Oncorhynchus mykiss (rainbow trout), 345 nucleotides long. The record is from RefSeq and is a predicted model, not a curated record. NCBI's taxonomy places the organism in Eukaryota, Metazoa, Chordata, Actinopteri, Salmoniformes, Salmonidae.